AUCCAGCUGACGAGUCCCAAACAGGACGAAACAUGCGUCCUGGAU
Molecule: non-coding RNA, 45 nt
Filed under: Schistosoma curassoni
Lineage: Eukaryota; Metazoa; Platyhelminthes; Trematoda; Strigeidida; Schistosomatidae
Source: RNAcentral